GUCACAUUGAAAUUAAUGGGAUUCAGCAUAGAUGUGGAAGCAUAUACUAGCAGAUCUUAAUGCAGUAUCACUGAUGAAAUUAGUAAUGCCAUUAUUAGCAGCAACAGUAGCCAAGAAAAAGGAGGAAAAAAAGUUGUAAAAGGAAGAGAGAGCCUGAUCCUGCAGACUUUAAAGUAUUGAAAUGCAAUCACCUUUCCUGAGUCUCAGGGGCCGGGUUAAGCUAGUCAAAAUGUUGUAGAUGCUAACACAACAAUUCAUGAAAAAUAGGCUUUAAUUUUCCAUGGCAUCUGAGGAGGAGGAGGAACAGCAGUGGAGGAAGGAGAGCUCUUCCCAGGAUGGGGAGGAUGCAGAGGAAGAGGCAGAUCAUCUCUGAAGAGGUUGUCUUACCCCUACUUUCUGCUGGUCAACAAUCAGAUCAAUAGAAAGGAAAUUGCUGCAUUCACCACAAUGUAAAUCAAGAAUAACGCCACAGAAGUCAAUGGAGCUACCUGACUUAAAACCAGUGUAAAUGAAAAGACUCAGAUCCUUACUAUUCAGUGCUGCAAUGGGGGAGUCGACACAGAAAGGACUUUUUGCAUAGUUAUGAAAUUAGUCACUGAGCUGUAAUUGUG
Pelodiscus sinensis (Chinese soft-shelled turtle) is the source of this 611-nucleotide long non-coding RNA. RefSeq lists it as uncharacterized. The record is from RefSeq and is a predicted model, not a curated record. Lineage: Eukaryota; Metazoa; Chordata; Testudines; Trionychidae.